RNAcentral lists this ribosomal RNA (274 nucleotides) under uncultured bacterium. RNAcentral describes it as "partial 16S ribosomal RNA". It matches the Rfam family "Bacterial small subunit ribosomal RNA", at positions 523 to 796 of the family's 1533-position model. The record is from RNAcentral.
AUACGAAAGGUGCAAGCGUUGUUCGGAUUUACUGGGCGUAAAGAGAGUGUAGGUGGUUUAUUAAGUCGGAUGUGAAAUCCCGGGGCUCAACCUCGGAACUGCAUUCGAUACUGAUAGGCUAGAGUUUGUGAGUGGUAAGCGGAAUUCCGUGUGUAGCAGUGAAAUGCGUAGAUAUACGGAGGAACACCUGAGGCGAAGUCGGCUUACUGGACCAAUACUGACACUGAGACUCGAAAGCGUGGGUAGCAAACAGAAUUAGAAACCCCAGUAGUCC